UUCUUAUAAUAGUUCACAUCCUUCACUUGUGGAACUCCAAGGGAGGGUCCAGAUGAAGCUGGAACUGCAGGUGGAGGAACCUGUGCAUUUGAGAGAUACCCUGGUCCAACCCCAUUUGGUUGAGCAUAAAAGGAUCCACUUGAAGUAGCAGUAAACGAUGAAGGCGUGUUGGUCUCCGUUCUAUUCAUGUGCAAAUAAGAUGAUUCUGAUAAAGUUGGAGGAGGAGGAGGAGGAGGAGGAACGUCUGAUGAAGGGACAAAAGAUGCAGAUGACUUAGGGAUGCUCUGCACAUUGGAGGCAGCUCCAUAAUCUAGAAUCAACUUCUCAAUCAAUUUAGGGUUGUUGAGAAUUUUAAUGAGCAGAUC
RNAcentral lists this unclassified non-coding RNA (365 nucleotides) under Hevea brasiliensis (rubber tree). The record is from RNAcentral. Lineage: Eukaryota; Viridiplantae; Streptophyta; Magnoliopsida; Malpighiales; Euphorbiaceae.